RNAcentral lists this ribosomal RNA (253 nucleotides) under uncultured bacterium. RNAcentral's name for it is "partial 16S ribosomal RNA". It matches the Rfam family "Bacterial small subunit ribosomal RNA", at positions 524 to 776 of the family's 1533-position model. The record is from RNAcentral.
UACAGAGGUCUCAAGCGUUGUUCGGAUUCAUUGGGCGUAAAGGGUGCGUAGGCGGCGCGUUAAGUCGGGUGUGAAAUCUCGGAGCUUAACUCCGAAACUGCAUUCGAUACUGCCGUGCUUGAGGACUGGAGAGGAGACUGGAAUUUACGGUGUAGCGGUGAAAUGCGUAGAUAUCGUAAGGAAGACCAGUGGCGAAGGCGGGUCUCUGGACAGUUCCUGACGCUGAGGCACGAAGGUCAGGGGAGCAAGCGGG